GCUUUAAGAAGCACUUCCUGGUUGGUGAGGUUCUUGGUUGAAUGUAAGCUGUGAUUCAGCAGUUUGGAAGAAAGCCGUAGGCUUGCUGGUUCCAGGUUCCAAAACCAGAAGGAAAGUGUUACUUGGGGUGGAAUUGCCUUGUGAAAACCUUUACAAGGGAAACAGACAUGGAAAAGGUUGAGUACUACAGAAGCUGAGUAAAUAAAUCCAGAGUAGAAGAGUUACAGCAAGUGCAUUUCAUUCUCUGGGAGUGACAAAGUAACAACAUUUCAUAUAAGAACACCUCAUUGAUGCUCAGCAACAGAAAUUGUUUGUGACCAACGUGGCAACAACAUCCCAACAAUCUAAAUAUAACCAUAGUCGUUUUAAGUUUUUAGAUUACUGGCAGUAAAAAGAACACUUCAAAAAAGCCUAGCACAUUUUAACAUCUGGCGCCCUAUGUUUUUAUAUUCUAAAAUAUUCACGUGCUUUGGCAUGAGGAAAAAUAAAAUUGUACCUUAGUUUUCA
This is a long non-coding RNA of Hemicordylus capensis (graceful crag lizard), 507 nucleotides long. RefSeq lists it as uncharacterized. The record is from RefSeq and is a predicted model, not a curated record. The transcript is spliced from 3 exons. Lineage: Eukaryota; Metazoa; Chordata; Lepidosauria; Squamata; Cordylidae.